This 451-nucleotide ribosomal RNA is filed under the name uncultured bacterium. RNAcentral describes it as "bacterial SSU rRNA". It matches the Rfam family "Bacterial small subunit ribosomal RNA", at positions 329 to 793 of the family's 1533-position model. The record is from RNAcentral.
UACCAGACUCCUACGGGAGGCAGCAGUGGGGGAUAUUGCACAAUGGGGGAAACCCUGAUGCAGCGACGCCGCGUGGGCGAAGAAGUAUUUCGGUAUGUAAAGCCCUAUCAGCAGGGAAGAAGAAAUGACGGUACCUGAGUAAGAAGCACCGGCUAAAUACGUGCCAGCAGCCGCGGUAAUACGUAUGGUGCAAGCGUUAUCCGGAUUUACUGGGUGUAAAGGGAGCGUAGACGGCAGUGCAAGUCUGGAGUGAAAGGCGGGGGCUCAACCCCCGGACUGCUCUGGAAACUGUACGGCUGGAGUGCAGGAGAGGUAAGUGGAAUUCCUAGUGUAGCGGUGAAAUGCGUAGAUAUUAGGAGGAACACCAGUGGCGAAGGCGGCGUACUGGACUGUAACUGACGUUGAGGCUCGAAAGCGUGGGGAGCAAACAGGAUUAGAUACCCCAGUAAGG